Molecule: ribosomal RNA, 496 nt
Filed under: uncultured bacterium
Lineage: Bacteria
Description: partial 16S ribosomal RNA
Rfam family: Bacterial small subunit ribosomal RNA
Source: RNAcentral
GAUGAACGCUGGCGGCGUGCCUAAUACAUGCAAGUCGAGCGAACAGACGAGGAGCUUGCUCCUCUGACGUUAGCGGCGGACGGGUGAGUAACACGUGGAUAACCUACCUAUAAGACUGGGAUAACUUCGGGAAACCGGAGCUAAUACCGGAUAAUAUAUUGAACCGCAUGGUUCAAUAGUGAAAGACGGUUUUGCUGUCACUUAUAGAUGGAUCCGCGCCGCAUUAGCUAGUUGGUAAGGUAACGGCUUACCAAGGCAACGAUGCGUAGCCGACCUGAGAGGGGGAUCGGCCACACGGGAACUGAGACACGGCCCAGACUCCUAGGGGAGGCAGCAGUAGGGAAUCUUCCGCAAGGGGCGAAAGCCUGACGGAGCAACGCGGCGUGAGUGAUGAAGGUCUUCGGAUCGUAAACCCCUGUUAUUAGGAAAGAACAAAUGUGUAAGUAACUAUGCACGUCUGGAGGGUACCUAAUCAGAAAGCCACGCCUAAUUACGU